CCUACGGGUGGCAGCAGUGGGGAAUAUUGCGCAAUGGGCGAAAGCCUGACGCAGCGACGCCGCGUGAGGGAUGAAGGUCUUCUGAUCGUAAACCUCUGUCAGCAGGGAAGAACGGUCACUGUGCUAAUCAGCAGUGAAUUGACGGUACCUGCAAAGGACGCACCAGCUAACUCCGUGCCAGCAGCCGCGGUAAUACGGAGGGUGCGAGCGUUAAUCGGAAUUACUGGGCGUAAAGCGCUCGUAGGCGGUAUGUCAAGUCAAGGGUGAAAUCCCCGCGCUCAACGUGGGAACUGCCUUUGAAACUGGCGAACUGGAGUGUGGGAGAGGAAAGUGGAAUGCCAGGUGUAGGAGUGAAAUGCGUAGAUAUCUGGAAGAACAGCAGUGGCGAAGGCGACUAUCUGGCACAUAACUGACGCUGAGGAGCGAAAGCGUGGGUAGCAAACAGGAUUAGAUACCCGGGUAGUC
This 465-nucleotide ribosomal RNA is filed under the name uncultured bacterium. Its description in RNAcentral is "partial 16S ribosomal RNA". It matches the Rfam family "Bacterial small subunit ribosomal RNA", at positions 338 to 795 of the family's 1533-position model. The record is from RNAcentral.